GACGAACGCUGGCGGCGUGCUUAACACAUGCAAGUCGAACGGAAAGGCCCUGCUUUUGUGGGGUGCUCGAGUGGCGAACGGGUGAGUAACACGUGAGUAACCUGCCCUUGACUUUGGGAUAACUUCAGGAAACUGGGGCUAAUACCGGAUAGGAGCUCCUGCUGCAUGGUGGGGGUUGGAAAGUUUCGGCGGUUGGGGAUGGACUCGCGGCUUAUCAGCUUGUUGGUGGGGUAGUGGCUUACCAAGGCUUUGACGGGUAGCCGGCAUGAGAGGGGGACCGGGCACAUGGGGACUGAGAUACGGCCCAGACUCGUACGGGGGGCAGCGGUGGGGAAUAUUGCACAAUGGGCGGAAGCGUGAUGCAGAAACGCCGCGGGCGGGAUGAAGGCCCUCGGGUUGUAAACCGCUUUCGGCUGUGACGAAGCGUGAGUGACGGUAAUGGGUAAAGAAGCACCGGCUAACUACGUG
This 468-nucleotide ribosomal RNA is filed under the name uncultured bacterium. Its description in RNAcentral is "partial 16S ribosomal RNA". It matches the Rfam family "Bacterial small subunit ribosomal RNA", at positions 28 to 507 of the family's 1533-position model. The record is from RNAcentral.